GAUGAACGCGGCGGCGUGCCUAACACAUGCAAGUCGAGCGAGAAAUAAAGGAAUGAAGCUUCGGUAGAUUUUCUUUAUGGAAAGCGGCGGACGGGUGAGUAACGCGUAGGCAACCUGCCCUGUACAGGGGGAUAGCCACCCGAAAAGGUGAUUAAUACCCCAUAACGCAAGAGAUACACAUGUAUCACUUGUCAAAGAUUUAUCGGUAUAGGAUGGGCCUGCGUCUGAUUAGCUAGUUGGUAGGGUAACGGCUUACCAAGGCAACGAUCAGUAGCCGACCUGAGAGGGUGAUCGGCCACAUUGGAACUGAGACACGGUCCAAACUCCUACGGGAGGCAGCAGUGGGGAAUAUUGCACAAUGGGCGCAAGCCUGAUGCAGCAACGCCGCGUGAAGGAUGAAGGCCUUCGGGUUGUAAACUUCUGUCCUAGGGGAAGAAACAAAUGAC
Molecule: ribosomal RNA, 446 nt
Filed under: [Eubacterium] sulci
Lineage: Bacteria; Bacillati; Bacillota; Clostridia; Peptostreptococcales; Anaerovoracaceae
Description: bacterial SSU rRNA
Rfam family: Bacterial small subunit ribosomal RNA
Source: RNAcentral